UACGGAAGGCAGCAGUGGGGAAUAUUGCACAAUGGGCGAAAGCCUGAUGCAGCUAUGCCGCGUGUAUGAAGAAGGCCUUAGGGUUGUAAAGUACUUUCAUCGGGGAGGAAAACAAAACUAAUAAUUUUAUUUCUUGACGUUACCCGAAAAAGAAGCACCGGCUAACUCCGUGCCAGCAGCCGCGGUAAUACGGGGGUGCUAGCGUUAAUCAGAAUUACUGGGCGUAAAGAGCACGUAGGUGGUUUUUUAAAGUCAGAUGUGAAAUCCCUGGGCUUAACCUAGGAACUGCAUUUUGAAACUGAAAUACUAGAGUAUCGUAGAGGGAGGUAGAAUUCUAGGUGUAGCGGUGAAAUGCGUAGAUAUCUGGAGGAAUACCUGUGGCGAAAGCGGCCUCCUAAACGAAUACUGACACUGAGGGUGCGAAAGCGUGGGGAGCAAACAGGGAUUAGAUACC
This 454-nucleotide ribosomal RNA is filed under the name uncultured bacterium. RNAcentral describes it as "bacterial SSU rRNA". It matches the Rfam family "Bacterial small subunit ribosomal RNA", at positions 340 to 786 of the family's 1533-position model. The record is from RNAcentral.